CACUCAACUUAGAGCUGUCCACAGAGCUACACGGCUAUACGGUACGAUAAAAAACUAAUCUGCUCACUCAGUUCGUUUAGUUUGAUAAUCUGUGCUCUUUGUAAAUGUCAAAUUGUGGCGGGAUUUUAAGCGUUGUUCCGAAUAUUUUUUUCUGGAAGAAUUGUGCGGUUUUUUUUCCAAGGUGAAUUGAAAAUCAGUAACUGUCCAAAAAGUGACAAGAACCGAUCACCUAUCACCGAAUUGAAGAAGUGACAUAAAUAAGAUUCUGCGCGAUGGACCCCAGUAUACUCGCAGCAAUGGACAAAGAAGCACUGAAGAAGCAGAUUGAAAACAUGAAGUACCAGGCUUCUAUGGACCGUUGGCCGCUAUCCAGGAGCAUCGCAGCGUGAGUAACUCUCCAGUGCUUUGAUAAUUACGAAAA
Molecule: long non-coding RNA, 421 nt
Filed under: Bombyx mandarina (wild silkworm)
Lineage: Eukaryota; Metazoa; Arthropoda; Insecta; Lepidoptera; Bombycidae
Description: uncharacterized LOC114241386, transcript variant X1
Source: RNAcentral